UACGGAAGGUCCGGGCGUUAUCCGGAUUUAUUGGGUUUAAAGGGAGCGCAGGCUGAUGAUUAAGCGUGACGUGAAAUGUGGCGGCUCAACCGCCGAGUUGCGUCGCGAACUGGUUGUCUUGAGUGAGGCCGACGUGCGCGGAAUUCGUGGUGUAGCGGUGAAAUGCUUAGAUAUCACGAGGAACCCCGAUUGCGAAGGCAGCGCACGAGCCCUCAACUGACGCUAAUGCUCGAAGGUGCGGGUAU
RNAcentral lists this ribosomal RNA (245 nucleotides) under uncultured Prevotella sp. RNAcentral describes it as "partial 16S ribosomal RNA". It matches the Rfam family "Bacterial small subunit ribosomal RNA", at positions 524 to 768 of the family's 1533-position model. Lineage: Bacteria; Pseudomonadati; Bacteroidota; Bacteroidia; Bacteroidales; Prevotellaceae. The record is from RNAcentral.